GCAUUGCCAGUGCCCCCACAGGGUUCCUUUGAGGAGCACGCUCUCAAUGACCUAAGACCUCCUUCAAGGCCUCACCUCUCUAAAGUACCACUUCCUCCCAACAGAGCCACUCUGAGGAUCAAGUCUUAAACACACGAGUCUCUGCGGGACAUUCAAUGCCUGGACUACAGCACAAAACUUACAGCAUGCCACCUCACUGUUCCAUGGAUCCACAGCCUUGCAGGAAGCAGCUCAGCUUCACUAAUGGACACCAGCACACCAGCCUUGGAGUCAGAAGCUCCAGUCUUAAGUUUAGUGUCUUCUCAACAGUGCUCUGACCACAGCCAAGUUACCCAGCCUUUCCUAACCUCAAUUUUCUUAUAUGGAAAAGAAAUUUAACAAUUUAAUCCUCACUUUUGAAAGAAUUACAAAAAAUCAUGUAAAGCAAUUAGAGCAGAACUUAACACAUGACUGUUUAAUCAAAUGUUGACUCACAUUCAGUGGCUGAAGGUAUUUCCAUAGUUUACACCUUUCUUACAAAAUGGAAAUUUACUGAAAAAUGGGCAAAACAUUUCACCACAUAUACUGUAAAUAUCUUGUUAGAAGACUAAUGGUAAAAAAAAAAAAACCUCUUAAUCUGAACUGUUUUACAACUAAAUG
Long non-coding RNA from Nannospalax galili (Upper Galilee mountains blind mole rat), 639 nucleotides. RefSeq lists it as uncharacterized. The transcript has 2 exons. NCBI's taxonomy places the organism in Eukaryota, Metazoa, Chordata, Mammalia, Rodentia, Spalacidae. The record is from RefSeq and is a predicted model, not a curated record.